UGAGGGUCAGUCAGCAUGCCACAACUCAAUCGCUCCUCGCCCCAAACUCGUCCCCACAUCAGGAGAAACCGCCAUGAACCUCGUUAGCAUGCUCGUGCUGGUGAUGGCUGCCCUGCUGGCCCCGGUGAGCAGCCUGCCUGAACCUGACGUGCUUCUGGACAGGGCGACGGACCUACAGGACCAAGGGUGGGUGCAGCCACCACGCUUCCACUACCGCGGCUUCCAACGACCAAACCCCAGAACCAACUGGCUGUAAGACCCAACCCCACAACCAACUGGCUGUAAGACCCAACCCCAGAACCAACUGGCUGUAAGACCCAACCCCAGAACCAACUGGCUGUAAGACCCAACCCCACAACCAACUGGCUGUAAGACCCAACCCCACAACCAACUGGCUGUAAGACCCAACCCCACAACCAACUGGCUGUAAGACGCUGCUCCAGACUCCAUAUCCUCCACCCUAGCUGGCCCUCUGUGUCUCACUCUAAAUUUAUUUUUCCCCUAACUAAGAAUAAGACAACUCAUAACUCAUCUGGUGAAAUAUAAAUUCCCGUUUGGCCACCUCCUUUUAGUUGUUUCUUAAGUCAGCCACUUAGAUGGUUCUCAUAAACUCAGUUAAGGGGAAAAUUAUGAGAUGAAUAUACUGUAUAAGCACCAGAGGCCAAGACUGUACUUGUAUUCUACAGUAUUGAAAACGUACACAUUAAACCACAGAGAGAUUGUUAACAAAAGGCACAAAGUAGAUAUGAAGAUUUAUAAGUUUAUAACCAUACCAAGAUAAUAAUUAUAGUGUGUGGAAGGACAUACAACACUAGGAUGUUGAUGGCGAGACAACUACCACACAGUUCACUCGUCAACACAAUGCAGCCUUGUUGACGCUGACUUGUUCUAAUCUCACAUCUUCCUCGGUAAUCUCACUCUCUUACAUUUUGUAAAGUGUGGGACAAUAAAGAAAAAUAAACAUAA
Long non-coding RNA from Homarus americanus (American lobster), 966 nucleotides. RefSeq lists it as uncharacterized. The record is from RefSeq and is a predicted model, not a curated record. NCBI's taxonomy places the organism in Eukaryota, Metazoa, Arthropoda, Malacostraca, Decapoda, Nephropidae. The transcript is spliced from 2 exons.